RNAcentral lists this ribosomal RNA (253 nucleotides) under uncultured bacterium. Its description in RNAcentral is "partial 16S ribosomal RNA". It matches the Rfam family "Bacterial small subunit ribosomal RNA", at positions 524 to 776 of the family's 1533-position model. The record is from RNAcentral.
UACGAAGGGGGCUAGCGUUGCUCGGAAUUACUGGGCGUAAAGGGCGCGUAGGCGGUUUGGACAGUCAGAUGUGAAAUUCCUGGGCUCAACCUGGGGGCUGCAUUUGAUACGUUCGGACUAGAGUGGGGAAGAGGGUCGUGGAAUUCCCAGUGUAGAGGUGAAAUUCGUAGAUAUUGGGAAGAACACCGGUGGCGAAGGCGGCGACCUGGUCCUUGACUGACGCUGAGGCGCGAAAGCGUGGGGAGCAAACAGG